GUGGAGGCGGCGUGCUAUACAUGCAGUCGAGCGGACUUGAUGGAGCUUGCUCCAUCAAGUUAGCGGCGGACGGGUGAGUAACACGUGGGCAACCUGCCUGUAAGACUGGGAUAACUCCGGGAAACCGGAGCUAAUACCGGAUAGUAUCUUGAACCGCAUGGUUCAAGUUGGAAAGACGGUUUCGGCUGUCACUUACAGAUGGGCCCGCGGCGCAUUAGCUAGUUGGUGAGGUAAUGGCUCACCAAGGCAACGAUGCGUAGCCGACCUGAGAGGGUGAUCGGCCACACUGGGACUGAGACACGGCCCAGACUCCUACGGGAGGCAGCAGUAGGGAAUCUUCCGCAAUGGACGAAAGUCUGACGGAGCAACGCCGCGUGAGUGAUGAAGGUUUUCGGAUCGUAAAACUCUGUUGUUAGGGAAGAACAAGUGCGAGAGUAACUGCUCGCACCUUGACGGUACCUAACCAGAAAGCCACGGCUAACUACGUGCCAGCAGCCGCGGUAAUACGUAGGUGGCAAGCGUUGUCCGGAAUUAUUGGGCGUAAAGCGCGCGCAGGCGGUUUCUUAAGUCUGAUGUGAAAGCCCCCGGCUCAACCGGGGAGGGUCAUUGGAAACUGGGAAACUUGAGUGCAGAAGAGGAGAGUGGAAUUCCACGUGUAGCGGUGAAAUGCGUAGAGAUGUGGAGGAACACCAGUGGCGAAGGCGACUCUCUGGUCUGUAACUGACGCUGAGGCGCGAAAGCGUGGGGAGCGAACAGGAUUAGAUACCCUGGUAGUCCACGCCGUAAACGAUGAGUGCUAAGUGUUAGAGGGUUUCCGCCCUUUAGUGCUGCAGCUAACGCAUUAAGCACUCCGCCUGGGGAGUACGGUCGCAAGACUGAAACUCAAAGGAAUUGACGGGGGCCCGCACAAGCGGUGGAGCAUGUGGUUUAAUUCGAAGCAACGCGAAGAACCUUACCAGGUCUUGACAUCCUUUGC
RNAcentral lists this ribosomal RNA (976 nucleotides) under Bacillus sp. (in: firmicutes). Its description in RNAcentral is "bacterial SSU rRNA". It matches the Rfam family "Bacterial small subunit ribosomal RNA", at positions 33 to 994 of the family's 1533-position model. Lineage: Bacteria; Bacillati; Bacillota; Bacilli; Caryophanales; Bacillaceae. The record is from RNAcentral.